UUUAAGUCUAAUGUGAAAGCCUUCGGCUCAACCGAAGAAGUGCAUUGGAAACUGGGAGACUUGAGUGCAGAAGAGGACAGUGGAACUCCAUGUGUAGCGGUGAAAUGCGUAGAUAUAUGGAAGAACACCAGUGGCGAAGGCGGCUGUCUGGUCUGUAACUGACGCUGAGGCUCGAAAGCAUGGGUAGCGAACAGGAUUAGAUACCCUGGUAGUCCAUGCCGUAAACGAUGAUUACUAAGUGUUGGAGGGUUUCCGCCCUUCAGUGCUGCAGCUAACGCAUUAAGUAAUCCGCCUGGGGAGUACGACCGCAAGGUUGAAACUCAAAAGAAUUGACGGGGGCCCGCACAAGCGGUGGAGCAUGUGGUUUAAUUCGAAGCUACGCGAAGAACCUUACCAGGUCUUGACAUCUUCUGCCAACCUAAGAGAUUAGGCGUUCCCUUCGGGGACAGAAUGACAGGUGGUGCAUGGUUGUCGUCAGCUCGUGUCGUGAGAUGUUGGGUUAAGUCCCGCAACGAGCGCAACCCUUAUUACUAGUUGCCAGCAUUCAGUUGGGCACUCUAGUGAGACUGCCGGUGACAAACCGGAGGAAGGUGGGGACGACGUCAAAUCAUCAUGCCCCUUAUGACCUGGGCUACACACGUGCUACAAUGGAUGGUACAACGAGUUGCGAAACCGCGAGGUUUAGCUAAUCUCUUAAAACCAUUCUCAGUUCGGACUGUAGGCUGCAACUCGCCUACACGAAGUCGGAAUCGCUAGUAAUCGCGGAUCAGCAUGCCGCGGUGAAUACGUUCCCGGGCCUUGUACACACCGCCCGUCACACCAUGAGAGUUUGUAACACCCAAAGCCGGUGGGGUAAC
RNAcentral lists this ribosomal RNA (857 nucleotides) under Pediococcus acidilactici. RNAcentral describes it as "bacterial SSU rRNA". It matches the Rfam family "Bacterial small subunit ribosomal RNA", at positions 582 to 1439 of the family's 1533-position model. The record is from RNAcentral. Lineage: Bacteria; Bacillati; Bacillota; Bacilli; Lactobacillales; Lactobacillaceae.